CCUACGUGCGGCAGCAGUGGGGAAUAUUGCACAAUGGGGGAAACCCUGAUGCAGCGACGCCGCGUGAGUGAAGCAGUAUUUCGGUAUGUAAAGCUCUUUCAGCAGGGAAGAAAAUGCCGGUACCUGACCAAGAAGCCCCGGCUAACUACGUGCCAGCAGCCGCGGUAAUACGUAGGGGGCAAGCGUUAUCCGGAUUUACUGGGUGUAAAGGGAGCGUAGACGGGAGGGCAAGUCUGGAGUGAAAGGCGGGGGCUCAACCCCCGGACUGCUCUGGAAACUGCCAGGCUGGAGUGCAGGAGAGGUAAGUGGAAUGCCUAGUGGAGCGGUGAAAUGCGUAGAUAUUAGGAGGAACACCAGUGGCGAAGGCGGCUUACUGGACUGUAACUGACGUUGAGGCUCGAAAGCGUGGGGAGCAAACAGGAUUAGAUACCCCAGUAGUC
RNAcentral lists this ribosomal RNA (440 nucleotides) under uncultured bacterium. Its description in RNAcentral is "partial 16S ribosomal RNA". It matches the Rfam family "Bacterial small subunit ribosomal RNA", at positions 338 to 795 of the family's 1533-position model. The record is from RNAcentral.